UACGGGGGGAGCAAGCGUUGUUCGGAUUUACUGGGCGUAAAGGGCGCGUAGGCGGCCAGCACAAGUCAGUUGUGAAAUCUCCGAGCUUAACUCGGAACGGUCAACUGAUACUGUGCGGCUAGAGUGCGGAAGGGGCAACUGGAAUUCUUGGUGUAGCGGUGAAAUGCGUAGAUAUCAAGAGGAACACCUGCGGCGAAGGCGGGUUGCUGGGCCGACACUGACGCUGAGGCGCGAAAGCCAGGGGAGCGAACGGG
RNAcentral lists this ribosomal RNA (254 nucleotides) under uncultured bacterium. RNAcentral's name for it is "partial 16S ribosomal RNA". It matches the Rfam family "Bacterial small subunit ribosomal RNA", at positions 524 to 776 of the family's 1533-position model. The record is from RNAcentral.